GCGCAGCAGGUGCGAAAACUCCACAAUGCGCGAAAGCGUGAUGGGGUUAACCCGAGUGCCGUCCGAUGAGGAUGGCUUUUCCCCAGUUUAAGGAGCUGGGGGAAUAAAGGGGGGGCAAGUCUGGUGUCAGCCGCCGCGGUAAUACCAGCCCCCUGAGUGGUAGGGACGAUUACUUGGCCUAAAGCGUCCGUAGCCGGCCUAGCAAGUCUUUCGUUAAAUCCGGCGAUUCAAUCGUCGGGCCGCGGAAGAUACUACUAGGCUUGAGGACGGGAGAGGUCGACGGUAGUCCUAGGGUAGGGGUGAAAUCCUAUAAUCCUAGGAGGACCACCAGUGGCGAAGGCUGUUGGCUAGAACACGCCCGACGGUGAGGGAUGAAAGCUGGGGGAGCGAACCGGAUUAGAUACCCGCGUAGUCC
Molecule: ribosomal RNA, 415 nt
Filed under: uncultured crenarchaeote
Lineage: Archaea; Thermoproteati; Thermoproteota
Description: partial 16S ribosomal RNA
Rfam family: Archaeal small subunit ribosomal RNA
Source: RNAcentral